UGCGGAGUAGAGCAGCGGCAGCUCGUCGCCCUCAUGAGGCGAAGGUCGCCGGUUUGAGUCCGGCCUCCGCAUCCA
This 75-nucleotide transfer RNA is filed under the name Microbulbifer hydrolyticus. RNAcentral describes it as "tRNA-Met". It matches the Rfam family "tRNA". From Rfam's summary of the family: Transfer RNA (tRNA) molecules are approximately 80 nucleotides in length. Their secondary structure includes four short double-helical elements and three loops (D, anti-codon, and T loops). Lineage: Bacteria; Pseudomonadati; Pseudomonadota; Gammaproteobacteria; Cellvibrionales; Microbulbiferaceae. The record is from RNAcentral.